RNAcentral lists this long non-coding RNA (319 nucleotides) under Sus scrofa (pig). Its description in RNAcentral is "lncRNA (ENSSSCG00055030248.1, ENSSSCG00070015502.1)". Lineage: Eukaryota; Metazoa; Chordata; Mammalia; Artiodactyla; Suidae. The record is from RNAcentral.
CCCUGCGUAUUUGGGGGUGGCACAGCUGACAGUGGUUCCCGUCUUCCCCCCAACCCCACCCCCCUACUCCCCUCUCCUGGGCGUGGAUGGCUUUGGGAAGCGUCCACUCCAAGCGGCUCCAGCAACACUGAAUGGAUGUGUAGUAUGGUUAGCAGCUGGAGACGGAGCAAACGAUGCAAUGAAAAGAAGUCACAUUCACGGCGUAUUUGCUGGCAGGCACUGUGCGAAAUGCCUUGUAUGCAGCCUCUGUGAUUCUCUUCACGACUCGGUGAGGCUUCAUCGGGAGCUCCACCUGGGUAGAGCGGCAGGAUCAGAUUAA